AGAGCACUUAAUUUAAUUUUUCCUCUAAGUGACCCAGGGCUGUUCCGUCUGCUAGAUGGAAGGGUAACAUUGCCUUAAAACAGAAAUAUGCAGGCACGGGCUAUUUUUGGCAGAUGAGUGUGUCCUCGUUCCCAAAGCAGUUUUGGUCUAAUGGCAGGGUGCGGACCUUCCAAAGUGGGCCUGGCUCAGGACACGGGCUGCUGCUUCUCUGCCUUCGGGCAUCUGGAGAGAACUGGCUGGCACUUGGAGCACUUGGCCUGGAGCUCCAGCCAGCAGGCCAUACUGGCUCAUCUGAGGCUAAAAUUCAUCUCACUUGAAGGGUGGGGAAAAUCCAUGCAUCUCAGGCUAGGUUCAAUUGGGCUUUUGCUAGCAUCUCAUCAUCACGUGUGGAAGGAGGGAGUGCGGGGCCUCCUUCCCUCAGACCCCCGUGGGAAGUGGUUGCACCGUGGUAGGGGUGGGUGGAGGACCCUGCUGAACAGCCUGCAUUUUUUUUCUAAGAAGUAGAAUGUCUUCCCGGCCCAGGUCUGUUUCAGGGUCUUUCAUUUUUCUGGUUUAUGGCCAUGCUUGCUGGCUUCAGUGUGACAACUCCUAGAAAACAGUAGUGAAAACUCCAACCUUUGUGUGCUGACUCUUGUAGGCCAAGGGGGCAGAGAUCUCAAAAUGAAGGUUGCCCGAGGUUCCCCUCCAAGAAGGCCUACAAGUGACCUUGGGCUCAACCUGGGGGCUGGUGUUUGGCCCUUGUCCCAAACAAGGAAGCCCUCAGCAUCAGCCAUAUUAGGGUUGUCAGCACCCCAAACGCCUACCCUGUACUAUAGCCAUGAAGAAAGAUGAGCCCCUUCCACAGUAGGCCAUGGGGUGCUGUGUGGGCAUGGGUAGUGGUGCCCUUGAUGGGAAUGUGAUCCUGCAGGUGUCUGCCUUGCACCCUGCUGCAGCCCAUGCACUGCACUUGAGGUGCAGGGCUACCCCUUUACUCUGAGGCUAGGCAUCCAGGCAGGUGCAGGAUUCGCCAGGGUGUGGCCUCCAGGUGCACACUUCAGCAGCAGCACUGGGGUCCCCAGAUCUCCCCACGCUCUUGGUCACAGCUUAGACCGGGGUGGCAGGGUGGGAGGCAACUUAGAGGCAGGGACAGACAGCAGACCACCAGUGGCCCCCAGCCUGUUGGUUGGGACAUACGGACAAGGCUGGUGGCUUUCUGGGGUCCAAGUGAAGUGUGGCAG
RNAcentral lists this long non-coding RNA (1217 nucleotides) under Capra hircus (goat). RNAcentral describes it as "lncRNA (ENSCHIG00010026223.1)". Lineage: Eukaryota; Metazoa; Chordata; Mammalia; Artiodactyla; Bovidae. The record is from RNAcentral.